UUCCUGCUCCUCUCCUAGAAGCCCCUGCCGCCCACCCAGCUGGCCCUGUGGAUGGGAUCCUCUCUGACCUCCUUGAGCCAUCCCUUGGGGGAGGCUGGGAGAAGAUAUAGGGCAGACACUGGACCUGGCCCACUGGCGCACCUGGGCCCCACUGGACAACACUGGUACCUGGAGAGAAGGCUGCUGCCCCCAGCCUCUCUCUCUCCGUCACACACUGGACCCCACUGGCUGAGAAUCUGGGAAGUGAGGAGGACAAGAAAGAGAGAAGGGGGUUCCCUUGUAUCUCCUCCUGGAAUUGCCCUCAGCUUUGGCCUUUCCCUCCUCCAUUCUCUGAAACACUGGACUUGGGGGUGAUCCCUACCCCCACCCUUCCGCCUCCCCACCUCCCACCUGCCGUGUUGUAGCUAGAACUUCUCCAAGCCUGUAUGUUUCUGUGGAAUAAGUAUUGGGAUUAGGGGGGAAACUGCAAUGGCCUGUGGCCCUGGGGUUGGACAUCUCUAUCGUAGCUGCCACGUUGGUUUUUCUAUAAUCACUGGGGUUUGUACAUUUUUGGGGGGGAGAGACACA
RNAcentral lists this long non-coding RNA (567 nucleotides) under Androctonus crassicauda. The record is from RNAcentral. Lineage: Eukaryota; Metazoa; Arthropoda; Arachnida; Scorpiones; Buthidae.